CGUUCAAAUUACAAAUGGCCGUGCCAUUAAGGUGAAAUGCAGCAGCUCAGAUCGGUCUGGGCUUCGGCUGCUCAGUCCUUGACUAGAGGAAAUGUGGAGUCCAGGGAGGAGUCGUUUCCCACACCCAGAAGAAGGGCUUUCGGCUGAUCUAACACAAACACUGCAGCCCUCAGGAAGGAAAGAGUUCCCAGACACCUCGCAGACUGAGUGACAUUGCAGGAAAUGGCGCUGUUGUCUGCUGAAGAAAAGCAGCGACGCUACAGGGCUCGUUGUGAUGCACUCCCUGAAAGAAGGCAGAUAUACCUCAGUAAAAAGAACGGGAGGUGGGGAAAGGACAUAAA
Long non-coding RNA from Sinocyclocheilus anshuiensis, 341 nucleotides. RefSeq lists it as uncharacterized. The record is from RefSeq and is a predicted model, not a curated record. Lineage: Eukaryota; Metazoa; Chordata; Actinopteri; Cypriniformes; Cyprinidae. The transcript has 3 exons.